AUGGAUGUGGCGUAGCUUGGUAUAGUAUUUGUUUUAGGUACAAAAUAUCAUGGGUUCAAAUCCUGUCAUUCCUA
Ilex paraguariensis (yerba mate) is the source of this 74-nucleotide non-coding RNA. The record is from the annotation of a GenBank genome assembly. Lineage: Eukaryota; Viridiplantae; Streptophyta; Magnoliopsida; Aquifoliales; Aquifoliaceae.